UACGUAGGAGACGAGCGUUGUCCGGAGUUACUGGGCGUAAAGGGUGCGCAGGUGGCGGCGCGCGUGGGGGGUGAAAUCGCCCGGCUUAACUGGGCGGGGGCCUUCCAGACGGCGUGGCUUGAGCAGCGGAGGGGGACGUGGAAUUCCGGGUGGAGCGGUGAAAUGCGCAGAUAUCGGGAAGAACACCGGUGGCGAAGGCGGGUCUCUGGGCAGUAACUGACGCUGAGGAGCGAAAGCGUGGGGAGCAAACAGG
Molecule: ribosomal RNA, 253 nt
Filed under: uncultured bacterium
Lineage: Bacteria
Description: partial 16S ribosomal RNA
Rfam family: Bacterial small subunit ribosomal RNA
Source: RNAcentral